GAGGGUGUAGCUCAGUGGUAGAGCACAUGUCUAGCAUGCACAAGGUCCUAGGUUCAAUUCCCAGUACCACCA
RNAcentral lists this transfer RNA (72 nucleotides) under Camelus bactrianus (Bactrian camel). It matches the Rfam family "tRNA". From Rfam's summary of the family: Transfer RNA (tRNA) molecules are approximately 80 nucleotides in length. Their secondary structure includes four short double-helical elements and three loops (D, anti-codon, and T loops). RNAcentral also lists the same sequence under 1 other name. Lineage: Eukaryota; Metazoa; Chordata; Mammalia; Artiodactyla; Camelidae. The record is from Rfam by way of RNAcentral.